UACGGAGGGGGCUAGCGUUGUUCGGAAUUACUGGGCGUAAAGCGCACGUAGGCGGCUUUGUAAGUUAGAGGUGAAAGCCCAGGGCUCAACCCUGGAAUUGCCUUUAAGACUGCAUCGCUUGAAUCAUGGAGAGGUGAGUGGAAUUCCAAGUGUAGAGGUGAAAUUCGUAGAUAUUCGGAAGAACACCAGUGGCGAAGGCGACUCACUGGACAUGUAUUGACGCUGAGGUGCGAAAGCGUGGGGAGCAAACAGG
Molecule: ribosomal RNA, 253 nt
Filed under: uncultured bacterium
Lineage: Bacteria
Description: partial 16S ribosomal RNA
Rfam family: Bacterial small subunit ribosomal RNA
Source: RNAcentral